Molecule: ribosomal RNA, 430 nt
Filed under: uncultured bacterium
Lineage: Bacteria
Description: partial 16S ribosomal RNA
Rfam family: Bacterial small subunit ribosomal RNA
Source: RNAcentral
GUGGGGAAUAUUGCACAAUGGGCGCAAGCCUGAUGCAGCAACGCCGCGUGAGGGACGACGGCCUUCGGGUUGUAAACCUCUUUUAGCAGGGAAGAAGCGAAAGUGAUGGUACCUGCAGAAAAAGCACCGGCUAACUACGUGCCAGCAGCCGCGGUAAUACGUAGGGUGCAAGCGUUGUCCGGAAUUAUUGGGCGUAAAGAGCUCGUAGGCGGUUUGUCGCGUCUGCUGUGAAAACCCGAGGCUCAACCUCGGGCCUGCAGUGGGUACGGGCAGACUAGAGUGCGGUAGGGGAGAUUGGAAUUCCUGGUGUAGCGGUGGAAUGCGCAGAUAUCAGGAGGAACACCGAUGGCGAAGGCAGAUCUCUGGGCCGUAACUGACGCUGAGGAGCGAAAGCGUGGGGAGCGAACAGGAUUAGAAACCCCGGUAGUCC